AGGUGCACUGUUGCUGAAGUACUAUGAGCUUUCAGAACUUCUGGAGAAACUACAAAGUUCUGAUUGUUAUGGUACCUUUAGUUGGGUUCAUACAUUUGGGAUGGCACAGAAUCAAGAGCAGCCCUGUUUUCCAAAUGCCUAAUAAGGACAAUGUUUCUGCACCAGAUAGUCCAGCACUUGAAUGUCCUGAGAAGAAUCACAUCGAAGGGAAAUAGGCUUGGAAUCUUCAGAAAGAAGCAUCUUUGAGUCUGAGCUUGAUAUUGAAAGAAGAGAUGAAAAACACCAGCUGGAUUAGAAAGAACUGGCUUCUUGUAGCUGGGGUGUCUUUCGUAGGUGUCCAUCUUGGAACAUACUUUAUACAGAAGGCUGCAAAACAAUCUAUAAAAUCUCAACCUAGAGGCAAACAAGAGUACUGAAGAAUGAAAUAAAAAUAAAUAUUUGGAAUUACUAAUAUGUCACUAAGUCAUUACAUGCUAGUUAUCUUCAUAAGCCUGGAGCUAUUUAAUUUUAAAGCCACCGUGCUGCAUAUUCAAGACUUUCAUUCUUGAAGGAUAAUUUUUUUCUCUAAAUGUCAAGACCCAUGACAAUGAAAUAAAUAGAAAAAUAUGUCUAACAAAAUAAAAACUGUCUUCACCACUUGCCACCGGAAGUAAGAUGUCUCGUUUAGAAGCUAAAAAGUCGUCAUUGUGUAAAAGUGAACCACUGACAAGUGAGAGAGUCAGGGCCACACUUUGUAUCUUGAAAGGAGUCCUGACAUCCAGCUAUGGCCCUUCGGGGAGGCUGAAGCAGAUGCACAACGGGCUUGGAGGCUGUGUGCGCACCACCUCACAUUCGUCGGCCCUGCUCUCCAGCCUUCCCGUCACCCACCCCAUUUUAAAGAUCCUGAUGACAUCCGUGCAGAAUCAUGUGUCAUGUUUCAGUGACUGUGGCUUAUUCACGGCCAUUCUUUGCUGCAAUCUGAUUGAAAAUCUUCAGAGAACAGGCUUGACACCAACCACUGUUAUUAAAUUAAACCAGCACCUUUUACGCCUCUGCACCAGUUACCUCAAGUCUGAGUCCUGUGGUUGUCGAAUUCUAGUUGACUUUAGCAGGCCUCAGACCCUCCUUUGUUUGGUGCGCAGUAUAGUAACAAGUAAACCCGCUGGUAUGCUCACCAGAGAGGAAACAGACCACAUCAGUGCUUUGGUUCUGAGAGCCUUUUUGCUUACAAUUCCAGACAACGCCAAAGACUGCCUCCUUUUAGGAAAGAGUAUAAUUGUGCCUUUAAAAGGUCAAAGAGUUCUAGAUUCUUCUGUAUUCCCUGGAAUACUUAUUGAAAUGUCAGAAGUUCAACUGAUGAAGAUCUUACCUAUCAAAAAAUCAGAUGCCUUCAAGGUGGCACUCUUUUGUGCUUCUUUAUCUGGAGAUCUCUCUGAUACUGGAGAAGGAACUGUGGUGGUCAGUUCCGGGGUCUCUCUUGAAAAUGCAGCCCUGGAGCAGUUGCUUAACCUAGGAAGGCAGCUAGUUGGUGAUCACGUAGAUCUUGUCAUGUGCCAAAAAGUUAUACACCCAUCUUUAAAACAGUUUCUCAGUAUGCACCGUGUAAUUGCUGUAGACAGAGUUGGAGUGGCUCUGAUGGAACCCCUGAGUAAAGUGACAGGUAAAAAGCACCUUCAGCUUUUGCCCCUUACAGUUAAUAAUCACACUCUUUUUUUGAGUGGACAUUCUUGGUGUGCGUCACUGUUAACAUCUUGAAAAAUUUUAGAAGCUGCCAACCUUGCAGCAUGUGUAUCAUUUCUGCCAGCAAAGGUGGCUUCUAAGAAACACCCUGUACUGUUCGUUUCCUAAAACUUGAGUGAUUAUGGCAAUUUCUGUGUAUUUUCCAGCCCCAGAAAAGACUAGGGUCUAUUAUAAUCUAAAACCAUUAACCCCCCAAACAUCUUAGAGUACUGAGAAGUUUAACAGCCUCAUAAUCCUAAGGUGUUUCAUACUUUACACAAAAUUCUUCUACUUGAAUUUUACAAGUAGAAAUCACAUUAUAUUCAGAAGAUAAUUUUGCAGCU
This is a non-coding RNA of Leptonychotes weddellii (Weddell seal), 2042 nucleotides long. The record is from RefSeq and is a predicted model, not a curated record. Lineage: Eukaryota; Metazoa; Chordata; Mammalia; Carnivora; Phocidae.